This 435-nucleotide ribosomal RNA is filed under the name uncultured bacterium. RNAcentral describes it as "bacterial SSU rRNA". It matches the Rfam family "Bacterial small subunit ribosomal RNA", at positions 43 to 524 of the family's 1533-position model. The record is from RNAcentral.
CAGGCCUAACACAUGCAAGUCGAACGAGGGCUUCGGCCCUAGUGGCGCACGGGUGAGUAACGCGUGGGAACCUGCCCUGUGGUACGGAAUAACUCCGGGAAACUGGAGCUAAUACCGUAUGUGUCCUGCGGGACAAAGAUUUAUCGCCAUGGGAUGGGCCCGCGUAGGAUUAGCUUGUUGGUGGGGUAACGGCCUACCAAGGCAACGAUCCUUAGCUGGUCUGAGAGGAUGAUCAGCCACACUGGGACUGAGACACGGCCCAGACUCCUACGGGAGGCAGCAGUGGGGAAUAUUGGACAAUGGGCGCAAGCCUGAUCCAGCAAUGCCGCGUGAGUGAUGAAGGCCUUCGGGUUGUAAAGCUCUUUCGCACGCGACGAUGAUGACGGUAGCGUGAGAAGAAGCCCCGGCUAACUUCGUGCCAGCAGCCGCGGUAAU